This 756-nucleotide ribosomal RNA is filed under the name uncultured bacterium. RNAcentral's name for it is "bacterial SSU rRNA". It matches the Rfam family "Bacterial small subunit ribosomal RNA", at positions 8 to 796 of the family's 1533-position model. The record is from RNAcentral.
AGAGUUUGAUCCUGGCUCAGAAUCAACGCUGGCGGCGCGCCUAACACAUGCAAGUCGAACGAGAAAGUGGAGCAAUCCAUGAGUACAGUGGCGUACGGGUGAGUAACACGUGGGUGAUCUACCUUUUAGUGAGGAAUAACCGAGGGAAACUUUGGCUAAUACCGCAUAGGCCUGAGAAGGGAAAGCAGAAAUGCGCUGAAAGAGGAGCCCGCGGCCGAUUAGCUAGUUGGUGGGGUAAGAGCCUACCAAGGCAGAGAUCGGUAGCCGGCCUGAGAGGGCACACGGCCACACUGGCACUGAAACACGGGCCAGACUCCUACGGGAGGCAGCAGUGGGGAAUCUUGCACAAUGGGGGAAACCCUGAUGCAGCGACGCCGCGUGAGCGAUGAAGCCCUUCGGGGUGUAAAGCUCUUUCGUCAGGGAAGAUAGUGACGGUACCUGGAGAAGCAGCUGCGGCUAACUACGUGCCAGCAGCCGCGGUAAUACGUAGGCAGCAAGCGUUGUUCGGAGUUACUGGGCGUAAAGGGUGUGUAGGCGGUUCUUUAAGUUUGCUGUGAAAUCUCCCGGCUUAACCGGGAGGGUGCGGUGAAUACUGAGGGACUAGAGUACGGGAGAGGAAAGUGGAAUUCCUGGUGUAGCGGUGAAAUGCGUAGAUAUCAGGAGGAACACCGGUGGUGUAGACGGCUUUCUGGACCGUAACUGACGCUGAGACACGAAAGCGUGGGUAGCAAACAGGAUUAGAUACCCUAGUAGUCC